Molecule: long non-coding RNA, 696 nt
Filed under: Homo sapiens (human)
Lineage: Eukaryota; Metazoa; Chordata; Mammalia; Primates; Hominidae
Description: non-protein coding FAM239A:26
Source: RNAcentral
UGAAGACACGUUGAGACAGGUAUCUCGACCUGCCAAGUAUAAAGCUAAAGCUGAGUUCAUAAAAAGGGAUGAUUUGGCCGACGGUCAUCUGCCAGAUUCUGAUGAUGAUUCAGAAGUCAGUGUGGAAGAAGAUCAGAGGGAGAGGCAGGCGCUCUUUGACUUAUCAAGCUGCUCCCUGAGGCCCAAAAGCUUCAAGUGUCAGACUUGUAAAAAGUCAUAUAUAGGGAAGUGGGGACUGGCCCAGCAUUUUAAACUUAAUCCAGGCCAUGGCCAGCUGGACCCUGAGAUGGUGCUAUCUGAGAAAGCCAAUGGGAGCACCCUCCGGGGGUGCACAGAGGAAAGGACGCUCAGCCUGACCUUCCCGGGGCUGUCCGUGCCAGCGGCUCCGCGUGAGGGAGGGGCCCGCUCCUGCUUGGUGAGAGAGUCAGCACGCGGUGGCCUGCAGGUGAACUGUCACCCCUACAACUCAGCUUGCAACCAGCCCUGGCCACCAGUUUCCCCACACUGAGCUGAAUAUCGGACAUGCCCAUCUCAGACAUUCCAGCCCAUUCUGAAAUUCCACAUCGAUUCACCUGACAAAGUCUGAAGUUCCAGGGCAAUUUAUCUGGAAAAGCUUACCUGGAAUCACGUGUCAUUUCAACCAACAACUGUUGAAGAGGACGUGGCAUUAAAACCAAGGGUAUCAAUUAUUUAUAA